This 467-nucleotide long non-coding RNA is filed under the name Olea europaea (common olive). RNAcentral's name for it is "long non-coding RNA (OEUR_LNC007489)". Lineage: Eukaryota; Viridiplantae; Streptophyta; Magnoliopsida; Lamiales; Oleaceae. The record is from RNAcentral.
UCAACCAAGCCAAUGCAGAAGAAAUUAAAAUACCUGAAUAAUAAAGCAACAAGAUAACGCCAAGAACUAUUUGACAUCGGAAAACCCUUUAAGACAAAGGAAAAAUCGACUAGGCAAACCGACAAGUCCACUAUCACAGAAUACACGGAUACAAUGUUUUCGUCUCAAGAUUAAUGCAUAAAAUCAAGAGGUAAUCCACCUCGCUACAUCAAGAUGUAAUCAUGGUAUACCACAAUAUUCAUCAUCUAAUAAUACUAUAUGGAACCCACGUAAAUAAUUAUGAAAGGAGAAGAAAAAAUGUCACCUAAAAUCCUUUUUCAAGACCAAUGUUGUAGAAAACAAACGGUAAAAAGGAUUGAAGAAAAAGAUAAGAAGUAAACUUCUUUUCCUCCAAAUAUUACCAUCAGCGUUCACCCUCUCUUUUCCCCAUUUCGUUGAUGCGCGUUUGUAUGUAUAUUCCAAUUGCU